UUUGUAUACCGUCCACGUCUAUACCACAUUAUAAAUGUACUUAUACGUUAUUAUCUGCUAAUAGCACUGUACGUAGUAAUAAGCAAUCAUACAUAUUUAUGUUUUCUAACAUUAAUCAUAACUCAUUAUAAAGCAUUUUAUUAUGACUUAUAAGGUCAAGAAACACAAUACAUAAUACACUUUGAUCCUUACAAAAAAAGUCAGUGAGUGACCAGCAAUUCUGAAGUAUUAUGAUACUUAAUGUGUUAUAAUGAUUGUAAUAAAGUAUUAUGUAUGUUAAUGUUUGCUUACAAUCAUGACUAUACAGUGCUAUAGCAGGGUAUAAUUCAUUCUAAGUAUGUUUUUAAUGCAUUAUAGACAUGGGCGUCAUAGUAAGUGUUACUAAAACGUCAAACCGCAACCAACUGGCAUAUCAGUACAAUAGUUGUCAGCCAGUCCACCCAGCUGGUACUGUUGAGCCUCAAUGUAAUGUCCAUCUGCUGUGCUGCUUUAGCUGUCAAAUAUCUAAAUUAAAGGCAGAUCUGAGUGAGAGGAUGAAGCUUCAUGACAUUUUGUACAUAAUACACGUCUUGGAGCAUCAUGUUGUUCAUCUCCCUAUUAAUUUUUUGUGUGUGUGUGUGUGUGUGUGUGUGUGUGUGUAGCCUUACUUGAAUUCAUUUGUCUGAUUGGACUUGAUAGGCUUCUCGCUCGUUGAAUCGCACAGAUGGUGUAGUUAAAGUAAGUUAAGGAAUGGCAAGUAAACUGCUUGAUUGUGUCACUAGGUAAUGAAUCAUUAAGCACAUUUAACAUCCAUGCCUUAUACAGCCCACUGCACCGCCACUUUGUGGUCGAAAUGAAUGUUUUUCUGCUUGCCUUUUUAAUUAGCCUUUUCCCCACCGCCGGCACUAUCACUCGUACAUACCCAGACAGUGAUGCUCCCUCGGAUCACUUGAGGUCUUACAGACUCUGAAUGUCUGAGGCAUGUUCUAUAGGAAGCCCUUUUUGUUGUGCUUUGUGUGCUGCUCCCUCAGCUCCUCCUGCUCUCUCAGUGCUUUAGCGACUCACUUUGGUAUUGUUUUAUAAUGACUUAAUAGUAAUGUAUUUGACUGAAUGAACCCGCGCAGUUUGGAUUGUGUCUUUAAGUCUUAAUUAUGGGUUUAUGUGUAGUGCCCUGGUGCUCUGCGGACUGGGUCAGUGGUGUUUCUGGUCUCUUGUUGCUUCUACAUAGGACAGAGGGGAGGGUUAUGAAUAACUGCUGUCUCAAAAACAAUUCAAAUUAAUUUAAUAAAGCAACUUUAUGAUUACAGAGAUUGUCAUGGCAACUGUUGGCAGUCUCUGUGUUUUACAUUUUCUUUAAAUGAACUAGGAGGUAUUGACACCGGUUUCUUCUUGUUCCCUCAUUUUCUUGCUUCCAGACCUGAUUUCAACGAGCAGGACUGAGCGUGGUUUAGAAUCUAAAGGAAAAAGAAUCCAUCCUUAAACAUUUCCAACAUUACUGACCAAUCUGUUAUUACUUACAGGACUGUAUUUAGUUGUAUUCAUUGUGUUGCCUGGUGAUGGGUUUUUUCUUACUCCAGGGGAUAACUAGCCAAACUUAGAUGGCAUGACUUCAUCGAGUCCAGAUAUUUCCAGUUCCACAUGUUCUCCGGCGUUAUUCUUGUAAAUGUACAGUAGGAAAUCACUCACUUAAAGGAAAAGUUCAGAAGUGGGGUUGUAUGAAGUAUUUAUACAUAGUCAGUGUAUUACUACAGUAGAUGACAGUGAGCGCGUCCAGUUUGGAGAAACAGACAGGAGUACCAGCACUGAAGCUAAGCAGUGCACUGCUGUGCACAGGGGCAGCAGCACAAAUUAUUUUAGCAACCUAAACAAAAUCAAUAUCGGUUAAAGUGUACACUAUAUUUAGAAUAUUUUCACCACUUUAUCUUGCAAUCAAUCGACACCUUGUGACGGGGAACUGAAGCCGUUAUCUAUGCUCUCUUCAAAGCCAUGAGACUCCUUUGACAAAAACAGUAGUUUUACCUCCCAGAACACGAGAGUUGCUGGUCUACCGCUGCCUCAAUCAGUUAGUUAGUUUGUGUUAUUGUGUGACUUUGGUGAUUUAAUGGGUUUGCACAAACAAACAGUUUGAGGCAGCGGGAGACUUACGUGUUUUUCUAGGUAAAAUGACUGUUUUUGUCAAUGGAGUUUGGUGGCAUUUAAGUGAGCAUAGAUGGAUAUUAAGGUUUCAGUUUCUCGUCAGAAAGGUCUGUCUGAUGGCAAGGUAAAGCCGUGAAAAUAUUGAAAUAUAGCGUACACUUUAAGGGAUAUUAAUUUUAUAGAUUGGUCUUUUUUUAGGUGGCUAAAAUACAUUUUGCUGUUGCCUCCGUCCACAGCAGUACAUUUUUAACUGCCGUGCUCGUUCUCUCUGUUUCUCCAACUAGGGGCGUGUCAACCGCCAUGUACUGUAGGUAAUACAUUGACUCUGGAUUAGUACCUCAUCAUAUAUCAUAUCAUAUAAUCCCACAUCAGAAAAUCCAAAAUGUCCCUUUAAGUGGAAGUUGAUGAAGCUCAUUUAAUGAAAAAUACACUAAAAUAACACAACGGGACACAAAAAAAGCUUUGAACAUCACAGACCGAUGACGAUGUGAGAAGAUUUAAGGGUGGAAAUUCCUUCUAAUUUAUAUUUCAGAAGCUACAUUUUGUUUCAAAUGAAUAGUAGCUUAAAUUAAACAGCUGUUUUUGUUUCACCCCCAUGAGAAUGUUGCACCUCUGUCCAGAGCAGCAGACCCUGUCCCUGUCCCAGCUCUCCAUGGCUCUGUAACAUGCUGGCACUCUGGCCACCAGGCACUAUAGUUCUGUAUCCUUGUUAUUUACUACUGAAUCCUCAACUCUGUACAGAAGAUGAGAAUAUGAUCGCAUGGAACCUUGUUACUGUAAUAAUAACCUAUACAGUAUAUAAUAUUUAAUUUUUUGAUAACUUUCAUCAAUGAAAUCUACUUACCAACACACAGACUUGCGAGAAUCCAUUUUUUUUUUGUGAGCACAUGGUAUCUAAGGAUCUCCUUUGUUUUGUUUUGUAGAAUAGAAAGGUUUUUCUUUAUUGUUCCCAUUUUGGUUUUUACACUUGCUGGGGUUUUGUGUCCUUUACUGUAGGGAAAAGAAUAUGACAUUUUCAUGUUUAAGAUAGACAAGAAUCAUGCUUUUCGCUAAUAAUGACGAUGACGCUGGUCAUUUCAGUGAUGGUUAUCCGGUGUGAGAAUGUUUAGGAGUUUGCAAAUGAACUGUGUCUGGUUUACACUGAGCGAUAAGCAGUGAUGAAUCCUGGGUUAUGAAGUUUUAUGACUGUACAUUGAAGGGCUUGGUGUGGAUGCAGGCUCUAGAGACCCCCGACAACUCCUCUAGCACGGUACUCUAAAGUCCAUCUGUAAAAGAAUAAUGACCAUUACCAACAGUGAAGGAGUGAUCCGGUUCAUAUGAAUAACAUUAACCAAACGUUCCUUUUUUUUUUUGUCUGCAUAGACGAGUAAAUCAGUCUCUAGAGCCUGAGUUCCACCUCUGAAAAAUGAAAAGGAUUCUCUGUAUUGCCUUGUUAAUAUUAAUUGUGGACACAUAAUUUUAUAAAUGAAAAGGACGUGGAAAUAAAGAUAAUUUAUCUUGUUAUUUAUUCAGAGAUUGUGUUCUUUUUUUUAUCUGCCAUUUUAAAAAUGUAUGCAGAGAUGAAACUGUUUUCUUUAACCUCAAUAACCGGGUAAGUCUAAAGUUAUUUUUUUCAAAUGUAUUUUUCCGUGCUUUACGGGCCCACAUGCAGCUUAUCUAUAGGCUACAGCUUUAUUUUCUCCAGUGAACAAAGAUCUAGCUCAAAAGGGGUUUUGAAAGUUACUUUUUUCUCCCUUAUUUUAAUGCAAUGUUAGAAACAAAAGGCCUAGUUUUGGGAUAUAGAAAGGAAUAGGAACAGACUGCACAAAAAAGUCAUCAAAUCAUAACUUCAGACCUGCAAACGUUAAGUGGUGAGAAUAACUGAGAAUAACAUCAAGAAAAAUAUUGUAAUAUAAUAUUCAUAACUAUUUUUCAUCUGUGUGUAAUCACCGAAAAGUAAGAAUCAUUGUGUUUUCGUUCAUACAAUGAACCCUUCAUCUCUACAUAGGGAGCGAGUCCGCUGCAUGGAGUCCGUGAUGUUGCACCGCCAUGUUUCUACAGUAGCUCAGAACGGACAAACCCAACUCUGGCUCUAAAUAGGGCCUUUCGCAUUGUUACCUUACCUGAAGGCCACCGUAGUUCUCCGACUAGUGAAACUGCACUAACACCAGCCGCCGCCUGAACUCUGUUGCUCUUAAAGUAACUUCACGGAUGGCCUCCAGGGCGUCACCACGGUUUUAAAUUUGGCGGAAGGUUACCUCAGUCUUGUAAAAGGAGGGGGGAAUAACAUUCAAGAGUGGAAUAGCUUCAGGGAAUGUACUUGUUUUAAAUCCGCAGAUUUAAAAUGGAGUAUAAUUCAUCUGAUGUUGUUAACAACCCAAUCACACCAUGGAUGGAGAAACAACUGUAACAGUGUGUGCAGUGAGCUUUUUGAACCAGCAGGAGGCGAUGUUGCACCACCUUGCCUGUAUGUAUAAAGUUGUGAGUUCAUGUCAGGAUGUUUUAUAUGCACCUUCCUUCUCAAGUUGAAGUAGGAACUAGUUUUGUUGUUUAAUGAAGACCAACUCAAAGAGUCUGUGCUGUUGUCUUGAAUAAGGUGAACAUCUUUAACUAGAUAUCACCAUGAAACCUCCCCAGAUGAUUACUUACAUUAAGACACUUGUAUUACACGUUUUCUGAAAUGUCAUGUUUAAAUAUGCAAAUGCAGCAUUAUUGUUUAAAAUAUGUGCUGAUUUGCAUACAUUUCCAGAACGUAAAUCGGAGCACUGGAUAAAGCCAGGUUAAAAAUGAUGUUUUGUUUUGUUGACAUGUUAGAGUAAACUAUUACUAUGUUUAUCUCUUUGUAUGACUAUCAAUCUGAAAAUACUGUAAGCAACCAUUAAAAAAAAAUCUAUUUUCAUC
RNAcentral lists this long non-coding RNA (4995 nucleotides) under Cottoperca gobio. RNAcentral's name for it is "lncRNA (ENSCGOG00000018811.1)". The record is from RNAcentral. Lineage: Eukaryota; Metazoa; Chordata; Actinopteri; Perciformes; Bovichtidae.